Molecule: transfer RNA, 65 nt
Filed under: Dipodomys ordii (Ord's kangaroo rat)
Lineage: Eukaryota; Metazoa; Chordata; Mammalia; Rodentia; Heteromyidae
Rfam family: tRNA
About the family: Transfer RNA (tRNA) molecules are approximately 80 nucleotides in length. Their secondary structure includes four short double-helical elements and three loops (D, anti-codon, and T loops).
Source: Rfam by way of RNAcentral
GGUAACUCAGUGGUAGAGUGCUUGCCUUGCAUGCAUGAGGCCCUGGGUUCGAUUCCUCAGUACCA